CGCCCUGUCUGCUGUCCCGGGUGCAUUUCCGGCUCCCUCUCUCACCGGCUCUGAGCCCUUGGGGAAGCCACUCACUGCUUCUGCCAAACCUCCAUCGCCUCACCUAUGAACAGGGAAUAAGCGACAGACUCUACCUCCCAGGACCGCAAUGAGGAUUCACUGAGAACAUCCACGGACAGCACUUACUUCGAAUUCUUACCUGUGCACGAGGCACAGGGGGGCAGUGUCGCCCCCCCCCCGUUACAGAGGGGGACGCAGAGCUGGUGGGGGUAGAAUCAGCGGGGAGAACUGCUUGGGGUCACGUGCCCAGGCUGCGAGGGGUACAUGGGGACACCGAGGCCCACUUCCUGCCCUGAAGCGCAUGGCCUGAGCCAAAGAGGGGAGAAGAUUGGGCCCCUGGCCAUCAGGCUGGGCUGAGAGGGAAUGUACAGGCCCAAACCCGGCUGUGGGACUCAGUAAAAAGUACUUGGGCUGCUUUGGGGCAAGGAUCCCGGGACUGGGCGAGUGCUGGGGCCCCAGGAGGGCUCGGAACACCAGAGAAGAGGAAGAGGGCAUCCCAAUUAUGGGAAUCUGAGCAAGCAGUGUUGGAGACCGAAGGGGAGUGGCCUGUGUGGGGUCAAAGAAGCUGGAUGCCCGGCCACUGGGUACAAAGGACAACUAAAGCCAGAGAAAGGCCAGGACUGGAGUUCCAGAAGCAAACAGUGGCAAUCAGACGACUGCUGCCUGAGACUCCAGACGGCAGGCCCGGAGGGUUUGCUGCCUUGGAACCCGAGAAGCCUCCACCUGUUCCACACCAGCCAAGGGCAUCUGAGAAACGGAUGCAUCAUCUUUCCUGGACCGUGCUGGAAGGUAAGAAGCUGCCCACAAGGCAGCUGAUCCCCGAGAGACAGGCUGGAGGGAGGGAUGGUUCCGAACAGCCAAGCUCCUCGGUCCUCCCUAUGGCAAAGUCUGGCACUCAGGAGAAGCCCGAGGGUGCACACACGCGUACGCGUGCACGUUCGAAGCCUCACGGACGGUCCA
RNAcentral lists this long non-coding RNA (1020 nucleotides) under Felis catus (domestic cat). RNAcentral's name for it is "lncRNA (ENSFCAG00000050893.1)". Lineage: Eukaryota; Metazoa; Chordata; Mammalia; Carnivora; Felidae. The record is from RNAcentral.